RNAcentral lists this ribosomal RNA (459 nucleotides) under uncultured bacterium. Its description in RNAcentral is "partial 16S ribosomal RNA". It matches the Rfam family "Bacterial small subunit ribosomal RNA", at positions 338 to 795 of the family's 1533-position model. The record is from RNAcentral.
CCUACGGGAGGCAGCAGUGAGGAAUAUUGGUCAAUGGACGAGAGUCUGAACCAGCCAAGUAGCGUGAAGGAUGACUGCCCUAUGGGUUGUAAACUUCUUUUAUAAAGGAAUAAAACGAGGCACGUGUGCCUUUUUGCAUGUACUUUAUGAAUAAGGAUCGGCUAACUCCGUGCCAGCAGCCGCGGUAAUACGGAGGAUCCGAGCGUUAUCCGGAUUUAUUGGGUUUAAAGGGAGCGUAAGGGGGUGUUAAAGUCAGUGGUAAAAUUUUGGGGCUCAACCGUAAAAUGCCAUUGAGACUGGCAGUCUUGAGUACAGUUGAGGUAAGCGGAAUGCGUGGUGUAGCGGUGAAAUGCUUAGAUAUCACGAAGAACCCCGAUUGCGAAGGCAGCUUACUAAACUGUGACUGACAUUGAUGCUCGAAAGUGUGGGUAUCAAACAGGAUUAGAUACCCUGGUAGUC